UACGUAGGUGGCAAGCGUUAUCCGGAAUUAUUGGGCGUAAAGCGCGCGUAGGCGGUUUCUUAAGUCUGAUGUGAAAGCCCACGGCUCAACCGUGGAGGGUCAUUGGAAACUGGGAAACUUGAGUGCAGAAGAGGAGAGUGGAAUUCCAUGUGUAGCGGUGAAAUGCGCAGAGAUAUGGAGGAACACCAGUGGCGAAGGCGGCUCUCUGGUCUGUAACUGACGCUGAUGUGCGAAAGCGUGGGGAUCAAACAGGAUUAGAUACCCUGGUAGUCCACGCCGUAAACGAUGAGUGCUAAGUGUUAGGGGGUUUCCGCCCCUUAGUGCUGCAGCUAACGCAUUAAGCACUCCGCCUGGGGAGUACGACCGCAAGGUUGAA
RNAcentral lists this ribosomal RNA (376 nucleotides) under uncultured bacterium. RNAcentral describes it as "bacterial SSU rRNA". It matches the Rfam family "Bacterial small subunit ribosomal RNA", at positions 524 to 898 of the family's 1533-position model. The record is from RNAcentral.